AUUGAACGCUGGCGGCAGGCCUAACACAUGCAAGUCGAGCGGAUGACGGGAGCUUGCUCCUUGAUUCAGCGGCGGACGGGUGAGUAAUGCCUAGGUAUCUGCCUGGUAGUGGGGGACAACGUUUCGAAAGGAACGCUAAUACCGCAUACGUCCUACGGGAGAAAGCAGGGGACCUUCGGGCCUUGCGCUAUCAGAUGAGCCUAGGUCGGAUUAGCUAGUUGGUGAGGUAAUGGCUCACCAAGGCGACGAUCCGUAACUGGUCUGAGAGGAUGAUCAGUCACACUGGAACUGAGACACGGUCCAGACUCCUACGGGAGGCAGCAGUGGGGAAUAUUGGACAAUGGGCGAAAGCCUGAUCCAGCCAUGCCGCGUGUGUGAAGAAGGUCUUCGGAUUGUAAAGCACUUUAAGUUGGGAGGAAGGGCAGUAAGCUAAUACCUUGCUGUUUUGACGUUACCGACAGAAUAAGCACCGGCUAACUCUGUGCCAGCCGCCGCGGUAA
RNAcentral lists this ribosomal RNA (500 nucleotides) under uncultured bacterium. RNAcentral's name for it is "partial 16S ribosomal RNA". It matches the Rfam family "Bacterial small subunit ribosomal RNA", at positions 30 to 523 of the family's 1533-position model. The record is from RNAcentral.